CUCCUUGGGCCGCCACUGGGCCGGGGAGAUGUUUCUUUAGCGCUGCAAUAAUCCUGGAAUUAAAGCGCGUGUGGAGGAGGAGGAAAGGCAAGAGCCCAGGCAAUGAAGUCUCCCAGGUGUGUGCCUCGGUGCCAGCACACACGCAGCCCGGCAGCGCCAGCGGCGGGGGCUGGUGGCCAAGGGGCCGCGAUCGGCUGCUCCGCGCCUGGCCCCGUGCUCGGGGAGGCCGCUCGGCCCCGGAGCCCUGGCUCCGGUCCCCGAUAAGUGACCACCCAGCAGCCCCGGGGCCAGGGCGUCCCUCGGGCUAACACGAGCGUCUGCCAGCUCCGGCAGGACGGUUCCGGCUCCACGGGUCCUCUCGCUCGAUCCCCGUCCCCAGGUUCACGACUGACGAGAGGUGAAGGUCUGAUAUGAGCAAGGGAAGCAAACAGAUCAGAGGACACACGACCCAGCCGCCCCUGCACACGCAGCCAGCAUGGAGGACAAUGUCCUACCAAGGCAGGAAGCACUCGCCUGGGCCCAGCCCCCUGCCACAGCUUGCAAAUGCACUGGGGUGACGGCUGAGGUCCCUAGGAGAGCAGCACUGAUUGCUACCGAGCCCUUGCCUGCGGCAGCCCCGAAGUUUUCGGCCAUGAGGCGUGUAGCCCGCAUCCGUUCCCAGCCGGGGUCACUGCACCCCGGGCCGGGCCAAGGGCUCGCUCCGCACGUAGCAGCGCGGCCGUCACAAGGACACUCUUCCUUCCUGAGGAGCUCACCUCAGAAAGGGGGAGGGGGGUUAAUCAGAUCUGUCCUCCCUCAUGGCCCUGCCCCCCGUGGUCAAAACAGCAGCUCCAGCUGCAACGCAGGGGCUGGGAGGGGACACAGGAAAGAAGAGAAAUCUUGACAGAGCGCAGCCCAGUGCAGAGAUCUCCCCCCGCGCAGCGCGGCAAGCGGCAACCACAGUCGCUCCCAAGCAAGUGUCUGGCUUGAAACCAGUGAAGAGGUGAACCCUGGAAAGCGCUGAGGCGUGCAGGGGAGUGUGCUCCUGAAACGGCAUCGCAAACACUGGGGGAGGGACUUCCACAAUUUUGUCAAAUUAAAAGUGAAACAGCAGCGUCUUCUGCUGCAAACUGCCAGGAAGUGUCAAAACACGUAGUUACAAAGAGCAAGAGUGUAAUUACGUGUUUCUGUUUAUCGUUUCAGUUACCCAUUCUCUGCAGAUUACAGGCCCUAUUCGAAAAUACACCAGCUCCGGGGGCCUGUUGUUCUCUGCAGGCCUUCUUUCCAGCCUCCUGCCUAGGACUGCUCCUUCCUUCCUUUCUCUUUUUUAAACGGUGCCAUUGGUUUCUCUGCAUGCUGGAGUUUACCAUGUUUUGCUGUUUCUGCGUGGACGCCUGCACAAUCACUUUCGCCAACACAGAGCAGGGCUUGCAAGGGGGUCCGUCUGUCUGUCUGGGGCCCUUUUACUGCUAACUAUGUGAUCCCAGUGUACAAAAUAGGUAACUUGGUUUCCCCCCAAACCAUGCAAAAGUCCCACUUCUUCCCCAGAAAGCAGCCCUGCUUCCCUUGACAGGCCCAUUCCAACCACUUUUCAUACAACUGUAUUUAUGGCUUUUUAAAAUAAUCUGUGGGCCCAGAUUUCCAGGUGCCCACAUUUGCCAAAUCUUACAGUGCAAAAUUAGACACCCGUCAUUAUUUCUGUUUGCUCUGAAAGAGCCUAGUGACUGCUGGACGGCACCUCUUGUGAGCCUGCGUUUGCCACUGUUGUUAUUUUUAUUUUACUCAUUGACUGUAUUCAGCUUACAUCCUGGGGACGUAGUAAACAAUCAACAAUAAUGAAUCAACUGAAUCGGUUCUUUUUUUUUUUUUUAGGCUAUUCCCACUGAGAGCCACUUGCACUUUCGUGACAGUUAAGAAUCUGCCAAACAUUAGCUUAGUUACCAGCAAGACAGCCUCCCCCUCCCUUCACCUCAUACACAGAUUGUUUAUCAAAACGUGCUGCCAAGAAAAAUAUCCCAGCUUUUGGCCUCCACCAGUGAUUAAUAACACUUGAGAACUGAACAAAACUUUACUGUGUUUUCAAAAAAAAAAAUAGUGGGAGGUGGGAAGGAGGAGAGGGAAAAGCCAAAUUUGAAAGAGAGACAGAAAGAAAGAGAGAAAGAAAGAAUUGUAAUGUUUAAAAUCAUGUUUCAAGCUAGAAACUCCUUUCCCACUGUAACUAGGCCAUUUGAGAGAACUAAAGCACAUUUCCCCUGUCCCUGUUAUAAAUGCUGGUUAACACUGGACUAUUGAAAGGAGGAUGUUUAGGAGGGAUAGGAGGGUAGGAGCAGGCGAGCGGAGGAAGCGCUUUACUGUUAUUUGGAUUUGUUCCAAGAUGAGCUAUGGGGGAAAGGGGAGAGGGGAAAAAGGAUCAUUUACUUUCUUUCCAAAGACUGCUGGUAAAAUUCCUAAGGGAGAUCAAGUGCCAAAAUUAACUGUCUUGACGUAUUACUUUUAGACAGUAUUGCCUGAGUGAAUUAAGCCGCAGUUUCAAGAAGCCGGCCUAGGAUAGCUGCAAGCUGAGAAAGCAGCACACCUAUCCUCCUGCCUUGGGGGAAACCUCUCAUUCUUGUGCUGAUGGGUUUCCUUCCGGGCUUUCCGUCUCACUGCGCUAUUCUUUGUGUCCCUCUGUCUGUCAUUAUCUCUGUGUCUUGUAGUGGGAGAGGGUCAGAGAAAAAGCAGCACAUAAGAAAAGAAAGAGAAAAGCAGAAGUUUGUAACAAUCCCUCCAUACCCAUCCCUAUAUUGCCCAUACGGUGUUAUGCACUGUUUUGUACAACUGAAGACAUGACUUUAGAGAAACAGAAAAAUAGCUCUUGAACAGUGGGAUCCAGACAAGUGAAAACAGUUUACUGAAAUUAAUGGUGCUGAAUUGAACCAAACCUCCACUUUGGAAAUAGUGCCAGACAUAGUUUUCCUGAACCCUGUCCAACUGCCUGAGCGACAGAUAAUUUUCAUUCUAUUUGUGCUAAAGGCUUAUGACUAGUGCUGGAAAAUGAAGCCCUUGCCCUUGAUCUCAGCACAGAUUAACAAAAAAAAAAGCAGCACUGUGCCAAUUUGUUUCUUCUGCCAGGAGAAGCCCUUGUGCUUUGGGUAAUGCAAAACAAUCAAAAGUUCUCAUGAAAACUCUUCAUUGAAAGGAAACCCACCAAGAGCCAUGUCUCCCUGCUGCACUCAGCAGCCAGUUUCCAAGAUUCUCACAAUGUCAGCAAACUGCAGAGGGCAAGGGCAGAAAAUAUCCGCCAGCCCCCGCUUUCUCUCUCUUGUCCAUCACCCACUGCCUGUGCAGGGGGAGACUCUGGAUAAUGCCUGGGAUCGUAAAUACCCCAGUUCCUUCUUCCUGCUAAUUCUGCUCUUCUCCCCUCCAGGACUGCCUGCAACAUUUGUGCUGUCAGAAGCUGAUCCUAUUUCUGAAGGGUGAAAUGCACAUUUGAGACGCACUCACAUGCAGUUAUAAACAGCGGCUACCCUGUACUGCUGUCAGCCAAUUAAUCUGCAAUGGCUUUUUCUUAGAUUAUGAAUAAAAUGAGAAUCCCGA
Molecule: long non-coding RNA, 3555 nt
Organism: Gavialis gangeticus (Gharial)
Lineage: Eukaryota; Metazoa; Chordata; Crocodylia; Gavialidae
Exons: 2
Source: RefSeq, a predicted model, not a curated record